RNAcentral lists this ribosomal RNA (366 nucleotides) under uncultured bacterium. Its description in RNAcentral is "bacterial SSU rRNA". It matches the Rfam family "Bacterial small subunit ribosomal RNA", at positions 37 to 433 of the family's 1533-position model. The record is from RNAcentral.
UGGCGGCAGGCUUAACACAUGCAAGUCGAACGCCCCGCAAGGGGAGUGGCAGACGGGUGAGUAACGCGUGGGAAUCUACCCAACUCUACGGAAUAACUCAGGGAAACUUGUGCUAAUACCGUAUACGCCCUUCGGGGGAAAGAUUUAUCGGAGUUGGAUGAGCCCGCGUUGGAUUAGCUAGUUGGUGGGGUAAAGGCCUACCAAGGCGACGAUCCAUAGCUGGUCUGAGAGGAUGAUCAGCCACAUUGGGACUGAGACACGGCCCAAACUCCUACGGGAGGCAGCAGUGGGGAAUAUUGGACAAUGGGCGCAAGCCUGAUCCAGCCAUGCCGCGUGAGUGAUGAAGGCCCUAGGGUUGUAAAGCUC